AUGUCUGAGAAUUUAAGCAGUGAUGAAGAAUGGUGUGUCUACAACCACAACACACACAGGAACACAAAAUGUUGGGAAUGUGGCAAAACGUUCAGCAAACUUGAGACCCUGAUGUCUCAUUACAGAAGCCAUAACAUCCUAGCCACCUGCCACAUCUGCAAUCUUGUUUUCCGGCGCCAGACAUCGCUGUCCACACACCUGGAUAAUGCACACUCUCCGGCCCUGUGCAAAAAGUGCCAUCAGUCGUUCAGCAACGUGUGGGAGUUGAACAAGCAUGCAGAGACACAGUGCUUCAAAACAGAGUCAUUUCAAGAAGCCUCCACUUUGACGUCUACAAUUAUACACGAGAGUCACAACAGCACCAAUUCUUCUGGUGAGGUAACUACACUCCACAGCUCAGUCUCAGGACAGCCUGGCUCGAUGUCAGAGAUGAGGUCACAACAAAAAACUGAGAGGACCUCAAAGAAAUUAGAAUCAUCUGAAAACUCUGUAGAGUUCACAGUGGGAGAGGAUGAUACAGACUUUGACAGUGACUCUGAAGCAUCAGAUGAGUCUGAAACCUCAGACUCUGACAAUUAUGCCAAUGCACCCUCUAAACUUCCUAAGUUAUCCCCAGUUCAUUCGGAAUCUGACAGUGAUUCCAGUACGACAGAUUGUUCAAGUGACUCUUCAAAUAGCGUGGGCACUCAUUCUAAUGUCAAUUUGUCACUAUGUGCUGUGUGUGGUAGAGGGCCAUUUAAGUCACUGAAGCUCCAUAUGUUGCACUGUAGCGGUGUAAAAGUCAAAUAUCAGUGCUUACACUGCAAGAAAGUCUUUCUAACUGAGGCAUCUUUCAAAGAGCACUACAUGCUUUUAUAUUCUUGUAACAUUUGCAACCAAGUUUUCUCUCACGAGUACUUGUACAACUGCCACCAGUGUCCCAAGGACGGCAAAUCACCUUUGGUCCUUUUUUGCUCAGAGACUAUGCCCAAAGUAUGUAACAUAUGCAAAUCCUUUUAUACCUGUGAGAAAGCUUUGUUAAAUCAUGUCACCAGAGCUCACACAUCCGUGGUUAGCACAAAGGUUUGCAUUGUUUCUAAACAGUCAGGUUUGAAAGAGCAAAAUGUUUCAUGUGGAACAGUCCAGUCAGUUACGAGAAGUCCAAACCUAGGCAGUCAGGUGUUUAAUGGAAAGCGUCACGUUAGCCAAACCUAUGCAGGGUCUAGCCCUUCACCUCUGUUGGCACCCUCUUCCAACCCAGGCAGUAGCUCUGGUGUCAUACACCUGGAAUCUAUCAAACCAGGUCUAUCAAAAAAUCAGCCUCUUAGAAAUCCAUCUACUCACUUAUUAAACCCUCCUGGUGCUGUUGAAAAGGUUUCUACCACUACAUCCUCUAAGACGGUCUCCCCGCCUAUGCCCACUAUAAUGGCCAUGUUUGAGAAUGGCAGUCAUGCGUUGGCUUUGAUGAAGCGUAUGAACACUGGCUGGCGCUUCAAGGCCCAGUAUCCUUGCAGACAGUGCGGUGCUAUCUUCCGACAACCCUCCCUCAUCAUCAGCCACCGCUACCUCCACAGAGGCCGCCGCUCGCACCACUGCCAGUGCGGCCGAGCCUUUAAGCACAGGCUGCAUCUCCUACGACACUGUGUUCAACACGCGGAGGCCGUAAGCUACAUCUGCGUCAGCUGUGGAGACACGUUCACAGGAGCACGGCUUUUGGCUGAGCACAUUCAGGGCAAUUCACGGAAAAGAUCCAGCUCUGGAAGUACGUGGAAGGAUAAAGUAAAGCCGGGGUGUGCAGUGCCCUUUACAUGUGACUGUGGACAACUAUUUUUUAGACCCUCUGCUUACAUAUGGCACCAGCUUAAAAACCUGAAAAAAUAA
RNAcentral lists this long non-coding RNA (1860 nucleotides) under Betta splendens (Siamese fighting fish). Its description in RNAcentral is "lncRNA (ENSBSLG00000017376.1)". The record is from RNAcentral. Lineage: Eukaryota; Metazoa; Chordata; Actinopteri; Anabantiformes; Osphronemidae.